This 484-nucleotide ribosomal RNA is filed under the name uncultured bacterium. RNAcentral describes it as "bacterial SSU rRNA". It matches the Rfam family "Bacterial small subunit ribosomal RNA", at positions 29 to 507 of the family's 1533-position model. The record is from RNAcentral.
AUUGAACGCUGGCGGCAUGCCUUACACAUGCAAGUCGAACGGCAGCACGGGGGCAACCCUGGUGGCGAGUGGCGAACGGGUGAGUAAUGCAUCGGAACGUGCCCAGUCGUGGGGGAUAACGUAGCGAAAGCUACGCUAAUACCGCAUACGAUCUGCGGAUGAAAGCGGGGGACCUUCGGGCCUCGCGCGAUUGGAGCGGCCGAUGUCAGAUUAGGUAGUUGGUGGGGCAAAGGCCUACCAAGCCGACGAUCUGUAGCUGGUCUGAGAGGACGACCAGCCACACUGGGACUGAGACACGGCCCAGACUCCUACGGGAGGCAGCAGUGGGGAAUUUUGGACAAUGGGCGCAAGCCUGAUCCAGCAAUGCCGCGUGCAGGAUGAAGGCCUUCGGGUUGUAAACUGCUUUUGUACGGAACGAAAGGGCUCUGGCUAAUACCUGGAGCUGAUGACGGUACCGUAAGAAUAAGCACCGGCUAACUACGUG